Molecule: long non-coding RNA, 617 nt
Filed under: Rattus norvegicus (Norway rat)
Lineage: Eukaryota; Metazoa; Chordata; Mammalia; Rodentia; Muridae
Description: long non-coding RNA NONRATT006885
Source: RNAcentral
ACAGAAGCCGAGAACAACUGUGGGGAACGAGGUAUGUUCUGACGAGAAGGAUCGUGGAGGCAGAGGCUGAGCUGCAGACAGGAGAUUCUCAGCCGUACUGAGAUUCCAUGCUUUCAGGAGUCUUGUCUGUGUCAGGCUGGGCUUCUCAGUGCUGCUGCUUCUGAGACAUCCUGGCUCCUCUCUCCCACCACCAAGCCUGUAAGAACUUUUCACCACCGCUGAGACCACAGGAACGAGGACUCCAGCCUGCACCCAUUCCCUAUGGCUGCCCUGACAAAUUUCCACAGAUGUAAUGGCUUCAGCCAUAGUACACAUCUCAUGAUAUCACUCUGGGCAUGAGACAUUCCGAAGUCAGGAUGCAGGGCAGUCAGUGUUCCUUCAGUUUCUGUGCCUUUACCAUCCGGACUUCCACCUCCACAGUGCAAUCUUCUCUUCUACCCCCAUGGACUCUGUGAGCCCCAGGAUCCUGACACCAUACACAGCAAGAUCUGUGACAGGACAGGAGCUAUAAGUAAGGUCAUGUUUUCAGGUUCCCGGGAGCAGAAUGUGGGCCACUUAGUGACCCUUUGUUCUUCCUCUCAGUUGAAAAAACUGCUCAGUAAAACAAAUUUCAAGGG